GAUUUAACGGAGCUUAUAUAUUACAGGAGUCACUCAGACCGCUCUCUCAUGGAAUCUCACAAAACAGGAAAGUGGUUAUUGAUUUGACUCCUACAUGCAAGUCAGCAAAACAAAUCGGCUGAAUGACCGACUGCUCUCUCUCCCGUCUUGCUGUGAGGAACCCUGAGGGACCUCUCUCAUUAACUCAGCUAAUUUAGUCCCGCUCCCCACCAGAGUGUUACAGAUCUAUGCACAGACAUCAAAACAAAAGUGAGAGGGUCUUCCCCCCUUCCCACUACUAAGAGAAGUGGAAAAUGAAUUGGACCUGCGGAAAAGGCUGUGGUGAGUAAGACGGAAAACCUUGUUAUUGAAGAGUCAGGAAGCAGAAAGGACUUCAGCACACCGAGAAUCAAAUCCAUUUUGUGCAGCUAAUGUUGCUCAUUAAGCAAAUGUAAAACAUAUAUUUUAGUUUAAUGCAUGAUUUAUUCUAAGUUCUGGCCAGAAGAGGUUGUAUUUGUGGAGUUUUCAGUCAGCCAAUGACUCAUUUCAAAUGACUCACCCAGCCUCAACUAAGGCACUGAGGCUGUGAAGAAAUCAGUCUGUGCACAGGAUUAAACAAAAUCACAAAUUCUCUACAAGAAGUGAAAAUAAGGCUGGAGGCUGUUGUUAGAAACUAUAGGGAGAAGUCAUGUAAAAUAUUUGGGACUCAGCAGUUACUUCAAAAGCCAAAGCCCAUCCCAUGCACUGUAAUUACACAGCACUACACACAGUAUAACAGAAAUGACUCAAAUGUCAACAGUACCAGAGAAAUUCAUUUAGCUGAUUUUCUGUCAGUAUCUGUCCAUGAGUUUUACUGUCCUCGUCUAUGAAUUGUUGAAGUUGUUGUUGUUGUUGUUGUUGAAUUGUCUACUGUGAGGAAACCUCCGAGUGGCUUCUCCAAAUGUUCCAGAGGAGUACGUCACGCAGCACUACAGCCCACUGUGUUAAUGGCGAGAGGGGGACAUGGCAGGAUGUCAGCGUGUGACAGGAAGAAUGACCUCACUCCCUUGGAUAUUUGACCGUGAGGAACAGGACUGCCAUUGCAACCUUUGACCAAAAGAUGUCUCCCUCACCUUUCUCAUCUCACUUUUCCAGAAACCAUGUGAAGUAUUCACAGAAUUUACACAGUAUUCAUACGAAUGAAUAUGUGGCAUGUAGUUGCAGUUACAAUUUCUUUUGUCCUCAGAUCCCUGUACAGUUGUUUCCAUGGUGCACUAUUACUUUUUCUUAGUGGUCACAACAAUUCAUAGCAAUGUAGCACAUAGGGCUAUGCUUUUUACAAUUCUUGGUCACUCUUUCUUAAGUUAGUCUGGAAGUUGGUUGAUUUAUGAUUUUAUGGUAAUCUGAUAGAUGAUUUUGGUUUCUGACCUGCUGCCUGUUCAGCUAAAGUGAUUAAGAAAAAGGUAAAAAAAAAAAAAAAAAGAAACACUCUAUGAGUUGACCAGAGAAUUGGAGGCUUUGGGCGUCCACCUUGAUGAGGACAGUAACAAGAAGAAAAAGAAAAGCAAAAGGCAGAUAAAGCGGGCACUCCAAAAGCUUCACAUUAGUGAACUACAGAAGAUACAGUUGGACAAAGCCAAUGGGCCAGUGAGAGCUGAAGAAGCGGAGAGAUGGCCUGUACUGCCCAUGGAGGCAAGAUGAAAAGAAAAUAGAUGAUACUAUAGGUGAUACAUCAAGUAAAAGUUGAUGAAAACGGUGAUGCCAUUGAUGGAAAACACAGUGUCCUUGGACAAAGUGGAGAACACGCUGAGAACAUUCCAUCUGACAGAUGAUGACGCUGCUGAGGUAGAGAACCCCCAAAGGCUGAGGGUGGAGAGAGAGCAGGAGGAGAGGGACAAAGGGCCCUUGGGUGGAGCAAAGGCAGCGGACAUCGCCAUCCAGGGCCAGGAACUUACCCAGUGUAAGACAAAAUAAACAUUGGGGAAGAGUGCUACAUCAUGCAUGUCAUUUAAAAAAAAAACGUAGUAUGGCUAAUGACAAGACGCACCCAGGAUGUUUGGAAGUGGAAAAGGAAAAAGUGCUAAGGCUAAGGCCCACAAACUAUUCUUCAUAUCUUUGCUGUUGUGGAUGUUUGUUUAUUUUUCUUGUCACAGAAACACUUCGAUAAAAGUAAGUCCACUUUGACUUGUACUGUGAAAGUUGUACAAUGAGCAUCAGCCCACUUUAAUACUCUUCUGUCCAAAUUUGUCCCAAUGAGACUGAUGGGUGAUUCUCAUGAAGCUAUAGUUAACAUGUCCGGGUCCUAUUUUCUGAAAACAAUAUUUUAUUAAUAAUAACUAUGAUAUUUUCUACAAAGACAGUAAAGAAUACUAUAGGGACAGAUGUUUUUAUUAUCAUUUUAACAGUAUUUUGAUAGCAAUUUAAACAAAAAGCACAGUAAAUUCUCAUUACCGAAAUGUGUCCGGGUCCAUUAUUCUAUUGUUUGUUUUAUUUCAUGAAAAGUUCUUUUUACAUAAAUUGAAGAAGAUUAUACAAAGUUGUGUAAAAAUGUCUAUAUUUUUGGUUAAUAUUUAUGGUAUUUUACAAAAGGAAAUGUUACAUUUAUUGUAAAAUUAUUGUGUCCACACUAAAUGUUCCUCAUUACCGUAAUGCGACUUGCCUGCCUAUAAAAAGUACACUGUUCCCUUAAAUUAACAAGCAGACCCAUGAUGCAACACUUGGGACAAAAGGUUUAAAAUGGAAUCAAGUUCAGUUGUUCUCUCUUCUCUCACAUCAUGAUAUUUGUGUU
Long non-coding RNA from Alosa alosa (allis shad), 2746 nucleotides. RefSeq lists it as uncharacterized. NCBI's taxonomy places the organism in Eukaryota, Metazoa, Chordata, Actinopteri, Clupeiformes, Clupeidae. The transcript is spliced from 4 exons. The record is from RefSeq and is a predicted model, not a curated record.